This 253-nucleotide ribosomal RNA is filed under the name uncultured bacterium. RNAcentral describes it as "partial 16S ribosomal RNA". It matches the Rfam family "Bacterial small subunit ribosomal RNA", at positions 524 to 776 of the family's 1533-position model. The record is from RNAcentral.
UACGGAGGGUGCAAGCGUUAUCCGGAUUCAUUGGGUUUAAAGGGUGCGUAGGCGGACUUGUAAGUCAGUGGUGAAAUCUCUUUGCUUAACAAAGAAACUGCCAUUGAUACUGCAGGUCUAGAGUAUAGAUGACGUUGGCGGAAUAUGACAUGUAGUGGUGAAAUACUUAGAUAUGUCAUAGAACACCGAUUGCGAAGGCAGCUAACGAAACUAUAACUGACGCUGAGGCACGAAAGUGCGGGGAUCAAACAGG